RNAcentral lists this ribosomal RNA (253 nucleotides) under uncultured bacterium. RNAcentral describes it as "partial 16S ribosomal RNA". It matches the Rfam family "Bacterial small subunit ribosomal RNA", at positions 524 to 776 of the family's 1533-position model. The record is from RNAcentral.
UACGUAGGGUGCGAGCGUUAAUCGGAAUUACUGGGCGUAAAGCGUGCGCAGGCGGUUCGCCAAGUCAGGUGUGAAAUCCCCGGGCUUAACCUGGGAAUUGCGCUUGAAACUAGCGGGCUUGAGUGUGGCAGAGGGGGGUGGAAUUCCACGUGUAGCAGUGAAAUGCGUAGAGAUGUGGAGGAACACCGAUGGCGAAGGCAGCCCCCUGGGCUAACACUGACGCUCAUGCACGAAAGCGUGGGGAGCAAACAGG